AUACGUAGGGAGCAAGCGUUGUCCGGAUUUACUGGGUGUAAAGGGUGCGUAGGCGGCUUUGCAAGUCAGGUGUGAAACCUAUGGGCUUAACUCAUAGAUUGCACUUGAAACUGUGGAGCUUGAGUGAAGUAGAGGCAGGCGGAAUUCCCGGUGUAGCGGUGAAAUGCGUAGAGAUCGGGAGGAACACCAGUGGCGAAGGCGGCCUGCUGGGCUUUAACUGACGCUGAGGCACGAAAGCAUGGGUAGCAAACAGGAUUAGAUACCCUGGUAGUCCAUGCCGUAAACGAUGAUUACUAGGUGUGGGGGGUCUGACCCCUUCCGUGCCGGAGUUAACACAAUAAGUAAUCCACCUGGGAAGUACGACCGCAAGGUUGAA
RNAcentral lists this ribosomal RNA (376 nucleotides) under uncultured bacterium. RNAcentral's name for it is "bacterial SSU rRNA". It matches the Rfam family "Bacterial small subunit ribosomal RNA", at positions 523 to 898 of the family's 1533-position model. The record is from RNAcentral.